Molecule: non-coding RNA, 177 nt
Organism: Plutella xylostella (diamondback moth)
Lineage: Eukaryota; Metazoa; Arthropoda; Insecta; Lepidoptera; Plutellidae
Source: RefSeq, a predicted model, not a curated record
GUUCGCUCUCACCGGAACAGAUAAGUUUGUGGCACUAUAAGGCAAUACCAAAUCUAGCUGUCAGACUGAAGCCGUCACAGAGUACAUUGUAGCCGUCAUUCUCUGUCAAAGCACUCAAAGUCAACAUGUCAUAGGACCUAAGUCUGUUAUUCCUCCAAAUAUUGACCAAAAGAUUAU